ACGGGAGGCAGCAGUGGGGCAUAUUGGACAAUGGGGGAAACCCUGAUCCAGCGACGCCGCGUGAGUGAAGAAGUAUUUCGGUAUGUAAAGCUCUAUCAGCAGGGAAGAAAACAAUGACGGUACCUGACUAAGAAGCCCCGGCUAACUACGUGCCAGCAGCCGCGGUAAUACGUAGGGGGCAAGCGUUAUCCGGAUUUACUGGGUGUAAAGGGGGCGUAGACGGUGAGGCAAGUCUGAAGUGAAAGCCCGGGGCUCAACCCCGGGACUGCUUUGGAAACUGUCUGACUAGAGUGCAGGAGAGGUAAGUGGAAUUCCUAGUGUAGCGGUGAAAUGCGUAGAUAUUAGGAGGAACACCAGUGGCGAAGGCGGCUUACUGGACUGUAACUGACGUUGAGGCUCGAAAGCGUGGGGAGCAAACAGGAUUAGAUACCCUGGUA
RNAcentral lists this ribosomal RNA (437 nucleotides) under uncultured Clostridium sp. RNAcentral describes it as "partial 16S ribosomal RNA". It matches the Rfam family "Bacterial small subunit ribosomal RNA", at positions 341 to 792 of the family's 1533-position model. Lineage: Bacteria; Bacillati; Bacillota; Clostridia; Eubacteriales; Clostridiaceae. The record is from RNAcentral.